AACGAACGCUGGCGGCAUGCCUAACACAUGCAAGUCGAACGAGACCUUCGGGUCUAGUGGCGCACGGGUGCGUAACGCGUGGGAACCUGCCCUUAGGUUCGGAAUAACUCCCCGAAAGGGGUGCUAAUACCGGAUAAUGUCUUCGGACCAAAGAUUUAUCGCCUUUGGAUGGGCCCGCGUUGGAUUAGCUAGUUGGUAGGGUAAAAGCCUACCAAGGCGACGAUCCAUAGCUGGUCUGAGAGGAUGAUCAGCCACACUGGGACUGAGACACGGCCCAGACAACCCCCGGAGCAAGCGGGGGGGCAGAUGGAGAAAGGGCCAUAGGCUGAACAAUCCAGUGCCGCGUGGAUGAAAAAGCCCUGAGGGUGAAAAAACUCUUUGCCAAGGUCGGUGAAUGACAGCGCGGGAAGAAUAGCACCGCACAAGCCCCGUC
This 433-nucleotide ribosomal RNA is filed under the name uncultured bacterium. RNAcentral's name for it is "partial 16S ribosomal RNA". It matches the Rfam family "Bacterial small subunit ribosomal RNA", at positions 29 to 497 of the family's 1533-position model. The record is from RNAcentral.